GCCCCGGUAGGGCAGCCUGGAUAGCCCGCCUGGUAUCGCAACUAGGAGAUCGAGGGUUCGAAUCCCUCCCGGGGCG
This 76-nucleotide transfer RNA is filed under the name Actinomycetota bacterium. RNAcentral's name for it is "tRNA-Arg". It matches the Rfam family "tRNA". From Rfam's summary of the family: Transfer RNA (tRNA) molecules are approximately 80 nucleotides in length. Their secondary structure includes four short double-helical elements and three loops (D, anti-codon, and T loops). Further hydrogen bonds mediate the characteristic L-shaped molecular structure. tRNAs have two regions of fundamental functional importance: the anti-codon, which is responsible for specific mRNA codon recognition, and the 3' end, to which the tRNAs corresponding amino acid is attached (by aminoacyl-tRNA synthetases). tRNAs cope with the degeneracy of the genetic code in two manners: having more than one tRNA (with a specific anti-codon) for a particular amino acid; and 'wobble' base-pairing, i.e. permitting non-standard base-pairing at the 3rd anti-codon position. The record is from RNAcentral. Lineage: Bacteria; Bacillati; Actinomycetota.